GACGAACGCUGGCGGCGUGCCUAAUACAUGCAAGUAGAACGCUGAAGCGAGGAGCUUGCUCUUCUUGGAUGAGUUGCGAACGGGUGAGUAACGCGUAGGUAACCUGCCUGGUAGCGGGGGAUAACUAUUGGAAACGAUAGCUAAUACCGCAUAAAAUGGAUUAUCGCAUGAUAAUCCAUUGAAAGGUGCAAAUGCAUCACUACCAGAUGGACCUGCGUUGUAUUAGCUAGUUGGUGGGGUAACGGCUCACCAAGGCGACGAUACAUAGCCGACCUGAGAGGGUGAUCGGCAAAAAUGGGAAUGAGAAAAGGCACAGAAUAAUACGGGAGGCAGCAGGAGGGAAACUUCGGCAAUGGACGGAAGUCAGAACGAGCAAAGCCGAGUGAGUGAAGAAGGUUUUCGGAUCGUAAAGCUCUGUUGUAAGAGAAGAACGAGUGGGAGAGUGGAAAGUUCACACUGUGACGGUAACUUACCAGAAAGGGACGGCUAACUACGUG
Molecule: ribosomal RNA, 497 nt
Filed under: uncultured bacterium
Lineage: Bacteria
Description: partial 16S ribosomal RNA
Rfam family: Bacterial small subunit ribosomal RNA
Source: RNAcentral